Molecule: non-coding RNA, 588 nt
Organism: Elaeis guineensis (African oil palm)
Lineage: Eukaryota; Viridiplantae; Streptophyta; Magnoliopsida; Arecales; Arecaceae
Source: RefSeq, a predicted model, not a curated record
GGAGCAUUAGGAACAAAGGUAGAAGGAUGUGGAGAUGGUUGAGGUGGAGCAGCUGGGGUUUGAAGUGGUUGUUGGACAGGCUGUGGAGGAGGUACUUGUUGCCAAGAGUCUGGUUGUCCGAUGCUAGCCUUUCCAGAUGCAAUCACUACUGAAGAAAGGCUUUUAUGGUCUAACAGAGGACAAUGGAUGGAAGAACCAGCCCAGAAGGCUUCCCAAUUGUCGAUCUGAAUGAUGGUUGGAUGAAAUUGCAUGAUCAUCGAUUGAUGAAGGUGUACUUGGACCACGUCCAUCCAACCAGCAUUUUGGAGGAGCAAAUAAAAGUCCAAAAGCAGCUUGAAUGAUUCAGAUUUUAAUUUGUUAUUGUGUCUUGGGUGUCUCAUUGAGUUGAAUCAGAAUCAGCUUCCGUUCACACUAUAGUGCCAUGAACACCGACCAACUAAAGUCUUUGCUUGUUUCCUUGUUAGUUAAGUCCCAGAAUAGCAAGGCAUUGUAGUCAUUUUGGAUUUGGGGGGGCUGCAUUAGGCAUCCAAAACAUUGUACAGAGAUAUCAUGGAGAACUAAGAAAAGGCCUAGUUUAGUUUCCUUGUG